UAUGUUUUCUACUUUUGUAAUGCUAUAGUAUAAGUUGUUAAUAUUAGAAUAUUAAUAUUAAAAAUAAUAAUUGAGAAACUGAGGGUUAUAGUUGAAAGUUAAGAGAAAUAGUUUUAAACAGAUUUUUGUUUAUUUCAAGAUUCAAAAGUUAGCUAUUUCUUUUGUUGAAAACUUUUCAAACUAAUUUCAUUUUGUGGCAUUGGGGAAUCCCGGUACCAAAAUGUAGUGUCUGCUCCAUUUUAUAUUACUAUAUCCAUCUUUCUCACACAUUGUAGCUAUCAAAUAUACUCCUCGUGUCUUCUAAAAUCCUAAUAACAGGAGCGCCUGUAACAGCAGAAUAGCAUGUUUUUUGGAGUCUUUUGCUUACUAAAUUCAAAGAGGAUUUUUUCAAUUGUUGAUUGAAAGAUGAUGUAUUUAUUGUCACCAUGAAUAAUUGCAUUAUAUUGUGAAUGAAUGCAGGUUAUGUUUUGCAUACAAGUCAUAAGUAUCAUAUAUCAUUUAUAUAAAUUUUAAGAAAAUGAACAAAUUACUAUCUGCCCCCAUAAAGGAAGUAAGUAAAAAGAUACACGCUGGUGAUGUGCGUCCUUCUGAUAUUACAAAAGCAGCUGUUAAGUUGACAUCAGUUAUUAAACCGCUUAAUGCAUAUAUUACUGUAACCGAUGAUACGGCAAAGAAACAUGCAGAAAACUCGGAUUUACGACAGAAAGACCAUAAUUUGUUGGGAAAACUGGAUGGAAUACCCAUUGCAAUUAAAGAUAAUUACUGUACCAAAGAUCAGUUAACAACUUGUGCAUCAAAAAUGCUUUCAAAUUUCAUCCCUACUUAUGAUGCAACUGUAUAUAAACGUUUAAAAGAUUCUGGGGCAGUUUUAAUUGGUAAAACUAAUCUUGAUGAAUUUGGUAUGGGUUCUGGUACUAUUGACUCGUAUUACGGACCAACUAAGAACUUGUGGAACUCUGAUACAUUAGAAAAUUAUUAUUUUUGCAAUAGUGAUACAGAGAAGCAUUAUAAAAAGUCUUUGAACGAAAAUAAUUCAUGGCAUAUCGCAGGUGGUAGUAGCGGUGGUUCUGCAGUAGCUGUUGCUACUAGAAGCUGUUAUGCUGCAUUAGGUUCAGAUACUGGAGGUUCAACGCGAAAUCCAGCCUCUUAUUGUGGUCUGAUUGGUUUGAAACCUACUUAUGGAUUAGUCUCGCGUUAUGGACUUAUUCCUCUUGUAAAUUCAAUGGAUGUACCUGGUAUACUUGCAAGGACCGUAGAUGAUGCUGUGGUAGUUUUAAACGCUAUAGCUGGCCCGGACGAAGCGGAUUCUACUUGUGUAAGGAGAGAAUACGUACCAUUCGAUUUACCAGAUAAUAUAAAUAUAAGUAAUUGUAGAAUAGGAAUACCCAAAGAAUACAGACAAAGAAAUAUAAGUCCUGAAAUACAAGAAUGUUGGAACGAAGUUUCUCAUUUUCUGGAAGAAGCUGGAGCAUCACUUUCCACGGUGUCGUUGCCACACACGAGUUAUUCUAUAAUGUGCUACACAGUUUUAAAUCGUUGCGACGUUACCAGUAAUCUGGCUUGUUACGACGGUGUAGAAUACGGUUACAGAGCAGACGAAUGGAGUUCUUUGCAAGAACAGUAUAGAAAAACAAGAACGGAAGGGUUUGGUAAAGUAGUUAAAGAACGCAUUUUAGUUGGAAACUACUUUCUAUUAGAAGAAAAUUAUGAACCAUAUUAUAUGAAAGCAAUGAAAAUACGAAGAUUAAUCUCAGAAGAUUUUGAUGCAGCGUGGAAUAGCGACAUUGAUUUUAUUCUUACUCCUACUACCCUCACAGAAGCUCCUAAGUAUGAUGAGUUUGUUUUACUGGACAAUCAGACACAAUGUUUAAUUCAAGAUUAUUGUACUCAGCCUGCUAACAUGGCAGGCAUACCAGCCAUUAAUAUACCAAUUAAGCUUUCCAAGAAAGGUUUACCUCUGUCUUUACAACUUAUGGCUCCUUCUUUCAACGAGAAGGGCCUUCUUACAUUAGCAAAGUGGAUUGAACAGAGAGUACAGUUCCCAAUGCUUGAAUUGAGAGAUACAUCUUUGUUCGAAUAAAAUGUUUCGUUUAUCCAUCAGGAUUUCACCGUUAUAGCUGGAAACUUGCUUAUCUGAAUAUCGUCGGUAUAGUUGGAAAUGUUAAUUGCAAUUAAGAAUUACACCAGAGCGCACAACGAUUCUGAAAGACGUCGGUAUUUAAGAUCACGACAGGAAUUCAUAUUUAGAUAUAAAAUACAAAAUAUACUGAAGUUUCUUUGUGACGUUUUAGUCGAUUUAUAUUCAUCAAAAUAGAGAAAGAAAUCUUAUUAAGAUGAUAGUGAUACUCCGUUUACAAGAAAAGUAAAGUGUGCCAUAUAGAACUGAAAUAUGAUAAUUUACGGAAAAGGAAGUCUUGCUUCACUGUCGAUAUCGCUUUGUAGAAAUUAAAUCGAUCAUAAUAUCAUAGAAACAAGAAUUACUCCAAAUCGAAGC
RNA transcript from Osmia bicornis bicornis, 2494 nucleotides. It is a transcript of the gene named glutamyl-tRNA(Gln) amidotransferase subunit A, mitochondrial, with no coding region annotated. The record is from RefSeq and is a predicted model, not a curated record. Lineage: Eukaryota; Metazoa; Arthropoda; Insecta; Hymenoptera; Megachilidae. The transcript has 5 exons.